This 391-nucleotide ribosomal RNA is filed under the name uncultured bacterium. Its description in RNAcentral is "bacterial SSU rRNA". It matches the Rfam family "Bacterial small subunit ribosomal RNA", at positions 28 to 417 of the family's 1533-position model. The record is from RNAcentral.
GACGAACGCCGGCGGCGUGCUUAACACAUGCAAGUCGAGCGGUAAGGCCCUUUCGGGGGUACGACGAGCGGCGAACGGGUGAGUAACACGUGGGUGACCUGCCCUCCAGCUCUGGGAUAAGCCUGGGAAACCGGGUCUAAUACUGGAUAUGACUCCAUGACGCAUGUUGUGGGGUGGAAAGCCUUGUGCGGCUGAGGAUGGGCCCGCGGCCUAUCAGCUUGUUGGUGGGGUGAUGGCCUACCAAGGCGACGACGGGUAGCCGGCCUGAGAGGGCGACCGGCCACACUGGGACUGAGACACGGCCCAGACUCCUACGGGAGGCAGCAGGUGGGGAAUCUUGCGCAAUGGGCGAAAGCCUGACGCAGCGACGCCGCGUGAGGGAUGACGGCCU